RNAcentral lists this ribosomal RNA (252 nucleotides) under uncultured bacterium. Its description in RNAcentral is "partial 16S ribosomal RNA". It matches the Rfam family "Bacterial small subunit ribosomal RNA", at positions 524 to 776 of the family's 1533-position model. The record is from RNAcentral.
UACAGAGGGGGCGAGCGUUGUUCGGAAUUACUGGGCGUAAAGGCGCGUAGGCGGCCAACUAAGUCAGACGUGAAAUCCCUCGGCUCAACCGGGGAACUGCGUCUGAUACUGGAUGGCUUGAAUUCGGGAGAGGGAUGCGGAAUUCCAGGUGUAGCGGUGAAAUGCGUAGAUAUCUGGAGGAACACCGGUGGCGAAGGCGGCAUCCUGGACCGAGAUUGACGCUGAUGCGCGAAAGCCAGGGGAGCAAACGGG